UCAUGCUGGUGGCCUGGACACUGAAGGGAGAGAAGUGGAUUUGAGAGACAUUUAGGAGUACCUGCUGCAAGAAGGGACAGACACUGCUGCAGAGAACUUGCCAUGGUGUUUCAUGCUGCGGCUGGUGGUUCCAGGCUGCAAGCUCCAUUCUAGAAAGGGCUGGCCCUGCUUCCUGCCUACGGGCUGUGGGUGUAUCAUCUGGAGCUGCAAAUGGGGUGAUGGGGCAUCAGUAGCCUUCUCACACCCAAGAACUUCCUGACACCCAGUGCCUCAUCUCCAGCCAACCUCUGGCGCCCCCAGAGAUCCUGGGACCCAGGCCUCACACUCCAGCAGGGGGGCUCUUCGUCCUUCUGGUGGUGCUGUCCUUUGGAGGUACCUUCGAACAGGAGUGCAACAGAUAGAAUUCAGGAAGUGCCAUCUGUUGCAUGGAUACCCUGCUGCCACCCUUGUCCACCUUCCUGGGGCAGAUCCUGGGAUGGGUCUUUAUGUAAGAACACAAAAGGGAGAAAGAAUGCAUAGAGGCCAGGCACGUUGGCUCAUGCCUGUAAUCCCAGCACUUUGGAAGGCCGAGGUGGGUGGAUCACUUGAGGU
Long non-coding RNA from Nomascus leucogenys (northern white-cheeked gibbon), 591 nucleotides. RefSeq lists it as uncharacterized. NCBI's taxonomy places the organism in Eukaryota, Metazoa, Chordata, Mammalia, Primates, Hylobatidae. The record is from RefSeq and is a predicted model, not a curated record. The transcript is spliced from 3 exons.